This 491-nucleotide ribosomal RNA is filed under the name uncultured bacterium. RNAcentral's name for it is "bacterial SSU rRNA". It matches the Rfam family "Bacterial small subunit ribosomal RNA", at positions 28 to 533 of the family's 1533-position model. The record is from RNAcentral.
GACGAACGCUGGCGGCGUGCCUAACACAUGCAAGUCGAACGGAGAUCAAGAUUUCGGUUUUGAUUUUAGUGGCGAACGGGUGAGUAACGCGUGAAUAACCUGCCUUUAAGUGGGGGAUAACACCUGGAAACAGAUGCUAAUACCGCAUAAGACCACACUGUGACAUCACAGAGAGGUCAAAGAUUUAUCGCUUAAAGAGGGGUUCGCGUCCCAUUAGGUAGUUGGUGAGGUAACGGCCCACCAAGCCGACGAUGGGUAGCCGAGCUGAGAGGCUGAUCGGCCACACUGGAACUGAGACACGGUCCAGACUCCUACGGGAGGCAGCAGUGGGGAAUAUUGGGCAAUGGGCGCAAGCCUGACCCAGCAACGCCGCGUGAGGGAAGAAGGUUUUCGGAUUGUAAACCUCUGUCGCAAGGGACGAAACAAAUGACGGUACCUUGUGAGGAAGCCCCGGCUAACUACGUGCCAGCAGCCGCGGUAAAACGUGCGUG